CCACCGGGCAUUGCCUUAGUACGGCGAGUGAGCGGCAAAAGCUCAAAUUUGAAAUCUGGCGUCUUCGACGUCCGAGUUGUAAUUUGAAGAAGGCGACUUUGUAGCUGGUCCUUGUCUAUGUUCCUUGGAACAGGACGUCAUAGAGGGUGAGAAUCCCGUGUGGCGAGGAUCCCAGUUAUUUGUAAAGUGCUUUCGACGAGUCGAGUUGUUUGGGAAUGCAGCUCUAAGUGGGUGGUAAAUUCCAUCUAAAGCUAAAUAUUGGCGAGAGACCGAUAGCGAACAAGUACAGUGAUGGAAAGAUGAAAAGAACUUUGAAAAGAGAGUGAAAAAGUACGUGAAAUUGUUGAAAGGGAAGGGCAUUUGAUCAGACAUGGCGUUUGCUUCGGCUUUCGCUGGGCCAGCAUCAGUUUUAGCGGUUGGAUAAAUCCUCGGGAAUGUGGCUCUGCUUCGGUAGAGUGUUAUAGCCCGUGGGAAUACAGCCAGCUGGGACUGAGGAUUGCGACUUUUGUCAAGGAUGCUGGCGUAAUGGUUAAAUGCCGCCCGUCUU
Molecule: ribosomal RNA, 547 nt
Filed under: Kluyveromyces marxianus
Lineage: Eukaryota; Fungi; Ascomycota; Saccharomycetes; Saccharomycetales; Saccharomycetaceae
Description: eukaryotic LSU rRNA
Rfam family: Eukaryotic large subunit ribosomal RNA
Source: RNAcentral